GACAGCCUACGGGACGCAGCAGUGAGGAAUAUUGGUCAAUGGGCGCAAGCCUGAACCAGCCAAGUCGCGUGAGGGAUGACGGUCCUAUGGAUUGUAAACCUCUUUUGUCGGGGAGCAAGGCCCGCCACGUGUGGCGGGAAGGAGAGGACCCGAAGAAAAAGCAUCGGCUAACUCCGUGCCAGCAGCCGCGGUAAUACGGAGGAUGCGAGCGUUAUCCGGAUUUAUUGGGUUUAAAGGGUGCGUAGGCGGAAGGGUAAGUCAGCGGUCAAAUGUCGGUGCUCAAAACCGGCCUGCCGUUGGAACUG
RNAcentral lists this ribosomal RNA (305 nucleotides) under uncultured bacterium. RNAcentral's name for it is "bacterial SSU rRNA". It matches the Rfam family "Bacterial small subunit ribosomal RNA", at positions 332 to 635 of the family's 1533-position model. The record is from RNAcentral.